UUACCGUCUGUGAACACUUCCAAAGAAUCUACCUGACGGGAGGGGUAUGUGUGCACUAGCCACUUCCAAGGAAUACACCUGGAUGGAGGGGGAUGGGAUGUUUUCGAGUGGAAAAGCUGAAGUGCAUGGACGUUUAGAACUACAUUAUGUUCCUUAAAUAUUGGAAUUAACUGUCAAUGGAAGAAAUCUUACCAGCAGAACAACAUACAUAUUUUCUGAGAUGUAGGUCUGGACCUACGGGAAGCUGAGAGAUGGGUAGCAAGAAAGUAAAACGAAGGGGCAGUUUGGACGAUAUAAGACCAACCUUCCACGCAGUGCAAGACAGAACGGUUCAGAUGUCAGACAGACACAAGGACAGAUGUGAAGAUAUUCCCCCAGAAGCUGCUUCCAACAGAGGGAGGAGGAAGCUCAACACAGCUGACAUGAGACCUGCACCAACCCAUUUACCUGCUUAAGAAACGCAUCAAUGAGGCUUUUUCGCCUUUUAGAGAUUUGGAUAUUCCCCUGCACUGAAAUCACUGGAAAUGAGAAUGUGUGUAUGGAUUGUCAUGUUUGCAGUAUUUUCACAACAGCUUCUCGUAUUACUGUUACCGGUGUUAAACUUUGACCAGUCAUGUGGUGGCAUGUUGUUCACUACUCAGUCAGCAGAGGGAGGCAGUGGAGCAUGAGUGGAGAGAACGACAUGUCAUACUUACUGUGGACUACCUAAUGCAUUGGACAGUAGACUGAGACAAAUCAAGAGGGACUCAUAUGUCCCUGGACAUUUUCUGGGAAAGACUGUAGAUAACUCCUCCAGCUUCUGUUCUCCAGCUGAUGGGACAGAACACUCUACCACCAAAAGAAAGGAAGAGGGUCAUUACCAAGGUCAACACUACAAACACCAUAUUCUGCAAAUGCCAUGUAAGUGUCUGUAAUACGGUUGUUUCCUCCUACUCCUCAUUCCACUUUUAUUUUACAUGUUGUACCAGUGUAAUAUAUUGUUUCUGAAGAAAUCCGCUGUUGUCUUAAUACAGUGUAGUUUUUCUCCCUUUAUCUCGUACUGUACAUUUUAUAGGCUAUAUCAUAAUUUGCAAUUAAUCCUCACCAGCGAGUUUCUUGGAUUAUUCUAAAACAAAAUGAUCCAGACAGUUGUGUUGAUAGGAUAUAAAAUCCGUUUUAGGAUGGGUCAUUUGCCUACACCAUGUAGGAAUGUAAAUGAAAGUGAAUAAAUGUCUGAAACACAAUGUU
Long non-coding RNA from Engraulis encrasicolus (European anchovy), 1227 nucleotides. RefSeq lists it as uncharacterized. The transcript is spliced from 3 exons. Lineage: Eukaryota; Metazoa; Chordata; Actinopteri; Clupeiformes; Engraulidae. The record is from RefSeq and is a predicted model, not a curated record.